This 153-nucleotide non-coding RNA is filed under the name uncultured Eubacterium sp. Lineage: Bacteria; Bacillati; Bacillota; Clostridia; Eubacteriales; Eubacteriaceae. The record is from RNAcentral.
AACAAAUUGUGGUCCAUAACCAGCGUUAUGGUUUAAGGGAAGUCCGGUGAGAAUCCGGCACAGUCUUUCUCUACUGUAUGAGGGACGAACGAAGCAUUAUGCCACGGAGAAAUUUGGAAGGCGCUUUUAGUAGGUUGAACUUAAGUCAGGAUA